UGUUUUUAGGUUUGUAUGAGCAUGUUGGAUCCUUGCUUGCGCAUCGACAAUUUCUCAUGCAUUCCAUUUCAGUUGUUGCAUCAAGUUUUACUUGGUCGUUGUGUGUUUCCUGUGCUAAAUACCUAACAUGAAGGCAUUCCAUUUGAUGUGAAUACUAUAUCCACCUUUUGAUGCCCCCAAGUUGAGUGCGUUUUGUUGGUGGACCUCAAAUCAUGCAUUUUGGUUCACAUCCUUUGCCUGCUUGUUCAUGCUUUGGUUGUUGACCCAUGAUGCUGUGUUUGAUUUCUUGGAUAUUGAAAAUUGUGAGGGAAUGGGUCUUUGGCCUUUAAUAACCCCAAAUUAUGCGUUCGACGCUAUAAGCGAACGACUGUCGUGUCUGUGUUGGACGAGUCCUUUGGACUUGGCUCAUACGGCACCCAUGUCGGUGAGGAA
RNAcentral lists this unclassified non-coding RNA (432 nucleotides) under Aphyllon uniflorum var. occidentale. RNAcentral's name for it is "partial external transcribed spacer". Lineage: Eukaryota; Viridiplantae; Streptophyta; Magnoliopsida; Lamiales; Orobanchaceae. The record is from RNAcentral.